AAAACAAAACUUUAUUUGGUCCGUCAGAACCUGAGUUUGAAAACCACCCAUGGAUAAUUCGUAUCGUACAGGGAUUACUGGUUUGAUUUACAGCUGAUAAAAUAUCCUAUGAUUCUGAAGAGCUGGGCAGUAUUUACAGGGUUAAAAAUAUUCACAGCUCAGAGAGACGGAAAGAAAGAGGGCAAAAAAGUGAAGGACAAAUCAAAAGAGGAAAGAGCGGGGAAGGGAGAAAACAGAAUGAAGAUACAGGCAGAGCUUGGCUCAGUGGCUGUGGGCAGGGACAGUGACAGCGCAGCCACCGUCCCCCCCGCCCGGGGACACAGGGACACGCUGGGCAAAGCCACAAGCCACCAUCCAUCCCUGCCCGCGCAGGCGUUGGGGUGCAGGCAGCCCCCCAGCACCAUUCCAGUGCCCAGCAUCACCCGCCCCAUGCCGAACUGCACAUUCACACGGCUUGGGAAGGAAGGGGAGCACCAGGGGAGCCCCAAAACACACACACACCCACACACACACACACACCCCCCCACCCCCUCGUGUCAAGCCAGAGAGCCACCAUGCCCUGAACAGGGGGGAGAGCUAGCAGCACCCCACAGCUCCUGCAAGCCUUUGCCUUGUGCUCACUGCUGCCCACAGGGCUUGCUGUCUAAGGAUGGGGUGCUCUGCUUUCCCUCCUGCUAAAAUCACACCCCCCAGGACACAGCAACAUGGUAAAGCCAUGGGAGCUGCUCCCCAGAGACCGGUUCUGGAGCCAUCACCCCUCAGCAGGGCAUGGGGAGGCCCCAGGGGGGGCUGAGCCCGACUCAGGGCCAUGGCUUCACUCCAGGCACUGCUCCCAAUGGCCGCCUUUGCAUAGUGACACUGUGUGACAAGGUGAGCGGGGUCCCUGCUGCCACUGCACUGCCAAGCAUCACCCCAUGGCCUCGCUGCCCACCCCAAGCAGUGGUCGCCGAGGUCACCCCGAGGGGUGGGGAAAACCCCCUGCAGCAGCUUUCUCAAACAACCCAGCAUCUUCUC
Molecule: long non-coding RNA, 1014 nt
Filed under: Strigops habroptila (Kakapo)
Lineage: Eukaryota; Metazoa; Chordata; Aves; Psittaciformes; Psittacidae
Description: lncRNA (ENSSHBG00005003342.1)
Source: RNAcentral